GAUGAACGCUGGCGGCGUGCCUAAUACAUGCAAGUCGAGCGAACGGACGAGAAGCUUGCUUUUCUGAUGUUAGCGGCGGACGGGUGAGUAACACGUGGAUAACCUACCUAUAAGACUGGGAUAACUUCGGGAAACCGGAGCUAAUAUCGGAUAAUAUUUUGAACCGCAUGGUUCAAAAGUGAAAGACGGUCUUGCUGUCACUUAUAGAUGGAUCCGCGCUGCAUUAGCUAGUUGGUAAGGUAACGGCUUACCAAGGCAACGAUGCAUAGCCGACCUGAGAGGGUGAUCGGCCACACUGGAACUGAGACACGGUCCAAACUCCUACGGGAGGCAGCAGUAGGGAAUCUUCCGCAAUGGGCGAAAGCCUGACGGAGCAACGCCGCGUGAGUGAUGAAGGUCUUCGGAUCGUAAAACUCUGUUAUUAGGGAAGAACAUAUGUGUAAGUAACUGUGCACAUCUUGACGGUACCUAAUCAGAAAGCCACGGCUAACUACGUG
RNAcentral lists this ribosomal RNA (497 nucleotides) under uncultured bacterium. RNAcentral's name for it is "partial 16S ribosomal RNA". It matches the Rfam family "Bacterial small subunit ribosomal RNA", at positions 28 to 507 of the family's 1533-position model. The record is from RNAcentral.